This 309-nucleotide ribosomal RNA is filed under the name uncultured bacterium. RNAcentral's name for it is "partial 16S ribosomal RNA". It matches the Rfam family "Bacterial small subunit ribosomal RNA", at positions 504 to 807 of the family's 1533-position model. The record is from RNAcentral.
AGAGACAGCAGUCGCCACGGUAAUACGAGGGGUGCAAGCGUUAUUCGGAUUGAUUGGGUGUAAAGGGUGUGCAGACGGCUUAUUAAGUCACUUGUUAAAUUCUUCGGCCUAACUGAAGGUCUGCAAGUGAUACUGAUGAGCUAGAGGGUGGAAGAGAGAAGUGGAAUUCUCGGAGUAGCGGUAAAAUGCGUAGAUCUCGAGAGGAACACCAAUGGCGAAGGCAGCUUCUUGGUCCAUUCCUGACGUUCAUACACGAAAGCGUGGGGAGCAAACAGGAUUAGAUACCCGCGUAGUCCCUGUCUCUUAUAC